RNAcentral lists this transfer RNA (82 nucleotides) under Enterobacter sp. Its description in RNAcentral is "tRNA-Gly". The stretch from base 1 to 72 matches the Rfam family "tRNA". From Rfam's summary of the family: Transfer RNA (tRNA) molecules are approximately 80 nucleotides in length. Lineage: Bacteria; Pseudomonadati; Pseudomonadota; Gammaproteobacteria; Enterobacterales; Enterobacteriaceae. The record is from RNAcentral.
GCGGGCAUCGUAUAAUGGCUAUUACCUCAGCCUUCCAAGCUGAUGAUGCGGGUUCGAUUCCCGCUUCCCGCUGCCCGCUCCA